GACGAACGCUGGCGGCGUGCUUAACACAUGCAAGUCGAACGGUGAAGGGACCAGCUUGCUGGUUCUGGAUGAGUGGCGAACGGGUGAGUAACACGUGAGUAACCUGCCCCCUUCUUCUGGAUAACCGCAUGAAAGUGUGGCUAAUACGGGAUAUUCUGGGUCUGUCGCAUGGCGGGCCCGGGAAAGAUAUUGCUUCGGUGGGGGAUGGGCUCGCGGCCUAUCAGCUUGUUGGUGGGGUGAUGGCCUACCAAGGCGGUGACGGGUAGCCGGCCUGAGAGGGUGGACGGUCACACUGGGACUGAGACACGGCCCAGACUCCUACGGGAGGCAGCAGUGGGGAAUAUUGCACAAUGGGCGCAAGCCUGAUGCGGCGACGCCGCGUGAGGGAUGGAGGCCUUCGGGUUGUAAACCUCUUUCGCCAGUGAAGCAGGCCUGCUCCUUGUGGGUGGGUUGACGGUAGCUGGAUAAGAAGCGCCGGCUAACUACGUG
This 489-nucleotide ribosomal RNA is filed under the name uncultured bacterium. RNAcentral's name for it is "partial 16S ribosomal RNA". It matches the Rfam family "Bacterial small subunit ribosomal RNA", at positions 28 to 507 of the family's 1533-position model. The record is from RNAcentral.